AGUGAACGCUGGCGGUAGGCCUAACACAUGCAAGUCGAACGGCAGCACAGUAAGAGCUUGCUCUUACGGGUGGCGAGUGGCGGACGGGUGAGGAAUACAUCGGACUCUACUUUUUCGUGGGGGAUAACGUAGGGAAACUUACGCUAAUACCGCAUACGACCUACGGGUGAAAGCAGGGGAUCUUCGGACCUUGCGCGAUUGAAUGAGCCGAUGUCGGAUUAGCUGGUUGGCGGGGUAAAGGCCCACCAAGGCGACGAUCCGUAGCUGGUCUGAGAGGAUGAUCGGCCACACGGGAACGUGGACACGGUCCAGACUCCUACGGGACGCAGCAGUGGGGAAUAUUGGACAAUGGGCGCAAGCCUGAUCCAGCCAUACCGCGUGGGUGAAGAAGGCCUUCGGGUUGUAAAGACCUUUUGUUGGGAAAGAAAAGCAGCAGGUUAAUACCCCGCUGUUCUGACGGUACCCAAUGAAUAAGCACCGGCUAACUUCGUG
Molecule: ribosomal RNA, 492 nt
Filed under: uncultured bacterium
Lineage: Bacteria
Description: partial 16S ribosomal RNA
Rfam family: Bacterial small subunit ribosomal RNA
Source: RNAcentral